AUUGAACGCUGGCGGCAGGCCUAACACAUGCAAGUCGAGCGGUAACACAGGGAGCUUGCUCCUGGGUGACGAGCGGCGGACGGGUGAGUAAUGUCUGGGAAACUGCCUGAUGGAGGGGGAUAACUACUGGAAACGGUAGCUAAUACCGCAUAAUGUCGCAAGACCAAAGAGGGGGACCUUCGGGCCUCUGGCCAUCAGAUGUGCCCAGAUGGGAUUAGCUAGUAGGUGGGGUAACGGCUCACCUAGGCGACAAUCCCUAGCUGGUCUGAGAGGAUGACCAGCCACACUGGAACUGAGACACGGUCCAGACUCCUACGGGAGGCAGCAGUGGGGAAUAUUGCACAAUGGGCGCAAGCCUGAUGCAGCCAUGCCGCGUGUAUGAAGAAGGCCUUCGGGUUGUAAAGUACUUUCAGCGGGGAGGAAGGCGUUGAGGUUAAUAACCUCAGCGAUUGACGUUACCCGCAGAAGAAGCACCGGCUAACUCCGUGCCAGCCGCCGCAGUAA
This 504-nucleotide ribosomal RNA is filed under the name uncultured bacterium. RNAcentral describes it as "partial 16S ribosomal RNA". It matches the Rfam family "Bacterial small subunit ribosomal RNA", at positions 30 to 523 of the family's 1533-position model. The record is from RNAcentral.